GAUCAUGGCUCAGGAUGAACGCUAGCUACAGGCUUAACACAUGCAAGUCGAGGGGCAGCAUGAACUUAGCUUGCUAAGUUUGAUGGCGACCGGCGCACGGGUGAGUAACACGUAUCCAACCUUCCGUUUACUCAGGGAUAGCCUUUCGAAAGAAAGAUUAAUACCUGAUAGUAUGGUGAGAUUGCAUGAUAGCACCAUUAAAGAAUUUAUUGGUAACGAAUGGGGAGUGCGUUCCU
This 236-nucleotide ribosomal RNA is filed under the name uncultured bacterium. RNAcentral describes it as "partial 16S ribosomal RNA". It matches the Rfam family "Bacterial small subunit ribosomal RNA", at positions 15 to 240 of the family's 1533-position model. The record is from RNAcentral.